This 508-nucleotide ribosomal RNA is filed under the name uncultured bacterium. RNAcentral's name for it is "bacterial SSU rRNA". It matches the Rfam family "Bacterial small subunit ribosomal RNA", at positions 29 to 524 of the family's 1533-position model. The record is from RNAcentral.
AUUGAACGCUGGCGGCAUGCUUUACACAUGCAAGUCGAACGGUAACAGGGUGCUUGCACCGCUGACGAGUGGCGAACGGGUGAGUAAUGCAUCGGAACGUACCCAGUCGUGGGGGAUAACGUAGCGAAAGUUACGCUAAUACCGCAUACGUCCUGAGGGGAGAAAGCGGGGGACCGUAAGGCCUCGCGCGAUUGGAGCGGCCGAUGUCGGAUUAGCUAGUUGGUAGGGUAAAGGCCUACCAAGGCGACGAUCCGUAGCGGGUCUGAGAGGAUGAUCCGCCACACUGGGACUGAGACACGGCCCAGACUCCUACGGGAGGCAGCAGUGGGGAAUUUUGGACAAUGGGCGCAAGCCUGAUCCAGCCAUGCCGCGUGAGUGAAGAAGGCCUUCGGGUUGUAAAGCGUCUUUCAGCCGGAAAGAAAACGACACGGGUUAAGUAACCUAGUGUGGAUGACGGUACCGGAAGAAGAAGCACCGGCGUAACUACGUAGCCAGCAGCCGCGGUAAU